Molecule: ribosomal RNA, 415 nt
Filed under: uncultured archaeon
Lineage: Archaea
Description: bacterial SSU rRNA
Rfam family: Archaeal small subunit ribosomal RNA
Source: RNAcentral
ACGUCGGUAACGGGAACGGAGGGUAAGAGGUAACUACAGGGGUAGGAGUGAAAUCUUGUAAUCCCUGUGGGACCACCUGUGGGCGAAGGCGUCUUACCAGAACGGGUUCGACGGUGAGGGACGAAAGCUGGGGGCACGAACCGGAUUAGAUACCCGGGUAGUCCCAGCCGUAAACGAUGCUCGCUAGGUGUCAGGCAUGGCGCGACCGUGUCUGGUGCCGCAGGGAAGCCGUGAAGCGAGCCACCUGGGAAGUACGGCCGCAAGGCUGAAACUUAAAGGAAUUGGCGGGGGAGCACAACAACGGGUGGAGCCCUGCGGUUUAAUUGGACUCAACGCCGGACAACUCACCGGGGGCGACAGCAAUAUGUAGGCCAAGCUGAAGACUUUGCCUGAAUCGCUGAGGAGAGGUGCAUGG